UGUAUUUAUUAGAUAAAAAACCAAUGCCCUUCGGGGCUUUUUGGUGAUUCAUGAUAACUUUACGGAUCGCAUAGCCUUGCGCUGGCGACGGUUCAUUCAAAUUUCUGCCCUAUCAACUUUCGAUGUUUGGGUAUUGGCCAAACAUGGUUGCAACGGGUAACGGAGGGUUAGGGCUCGACCCCGGAGAAGGAGCCUGAGAAACGGCUACUACAUCCAAGGAAGGCAGCAGGCGCGCAAAUUACCCAAUCCCGACACGGGGAGGUAGUGACAAUAAAUACUGAUACAGGGCUCUUUUGGGUCUUGUAAUUGGAAUGAGUACAAUUUAAAUCCCUUAACGAGGAACAAUUGGAGGGCAAGUCUGGUGCCAGCAGCCGCGGUAAUUCCAGCUCCAAUAGCGUAUAUUAAAGUUGUUGUGGUUAAAAAGCUCGUAGUUGAACCUUGGGCCUGGCCGUCCGGUCCGCCUCACCGCGUGUACUGGCUCGGCCGGGCCUUUCCCUCUGUGGAACCCCAUGCCCUUCACUGGGCGUGGCGGGGAACCAGG
RNAcentral lists this ribosomal RNA (541 nucleotides) under uncultured eukaryote. RNAcentral's name for it is "SSU rRNA". It matches the Rfam family "Eukaryotic small subunit ribosomal RNA", at positions 202 to 981 of the family's 1831-position model. The record is from RNAcentral.